GACGAACGCUGGCGGCGUGCCUAAUACAUGCAAGUCGAACGAGAGCGACCGGUGCUUGCACUGGUCAAUCUAGUGGCGAACGGGUGAGUAACACGUGGGUAACCUGCCCAUCAGAGGGGGAUAACAUCCGGAAACGGAUGCUAAAACCGCAUAGGUCUUCGAGCCGCAUGGCUUGAAGAGGAAAAGAGGCGCAAGCUUCUGCUGAUGGAUGGACCCGCGGUGCAUUAGCUAGUUGGUGAGGUAACGGCUCACCAAGGCCGUGAUGCAUAGCCGACCUGAGAGGGUGAUCGGCCACAUUGGGACUGAGACACGGCCCAAACUCCUACGGGAGGCAGCAGUAGGGAAUCUUCCGCAAUGGACGCAAGUCUGACGGAGCAACGCCGCGUGAGUGAAGAGGGUUUUCGGAUUGUAAAACUCUGUUGUUAGAGAAGAACAAGUGCUAGAGUAACUGUUAGCGCCUUGACGGUAUCUAACCAGAAAGCCACGGCUAACUACGUGCCAGCAGCCGCGGUAAUACGUAGGUGGCAAGCGUUGUCCGGAUUUAUUGGGCGUAAAGCGAGCGCAGGCGGUUCCUUAAGUCUGAUGUGAAAGCCCCCGGCUCAACCGGGGAGGGUCAUUGGAAACUGGGGAACUUGAGUGCAGAAGAGGAGAGUGGAAUUCCAUGUGUAGCGGUGAAAUGCGUAGAUAUAUGGAGGAACACCAGUGGCGAAGGCGACUCUCUGGUCUGUAACUGACGCUGAGGCUCGAAAGCGUGGGUAGCAAACAGG
Molecule: ribosomal RNA, 767 nt
Filed under: uncultured Granulicatella sp.
Lineage: Bacteria; Bacillati; Bacillota; Bacilli; Lactobacillales; Carnobacteriaceae
Description: bacterial SSU rRNA
Rfam family: Bacterial small subunit ribosomal RNA
Source: RNAcentral